Long non-coding RNA from Vidua macroura (Pin-tailed whydah), 190 nucleotides. RefSeq lists it as uncharacterized. NCBI's taxonomy places the organism in Eukaryota, Metazoa, Chordata, Aves, Passeriformes, Viduidae. The transcript has 2 exons. The record is from RefSeq and is a predicted model, not a curated record.
CGGAAUCAGGCAGCCAAGCCUCAGGUUCACCUUCUCCCUCACCCUCUGCGCUGCUCGUGUGGCACAGCAGAUCCUGAAGCCAGAGGAGCACGUGUACAUAAGGGUAAAGAGAUUCCUUCUGUCACACCGGUAUUUGGACCUGAGAAAGGUACCAGGUUUUCUCCAGCUUUUCUACAGUUUUGAUUUUGAG